GGAAGUUAUCGGGUGGCAGCAGAGUUGGAAUGGGAUAGGUAGUUCCCCGUUUCCAGGACCCCAGACGGCCUGCUGGGACAGUGUAUAUGAGUCCGGAAUGGGCUGGACCAGGGUCAGGCUAGCCCAGACUUCAGGUACGGGCUGUGAUGACGAGGAGUGGGCUAGUCUCCCGGGUCGGUCACCGCUGAACUCUCAGGUGUGAAACACAGUGGGCAUGUAGAGCUG
RNAcentral lists this long non-coding RNA (225 nucleotides) under Homo sapiens (human). RNAcentral describes it as "HSALNT0389462". The record is from RNAcentral. Lineage: Eukaryota; Metazoa; Chordata; Mammalia; Primates; Hominidae.